This 335-nucleotide long non-coding RNA is filed under the name Panax ginseng (ginseng). RNAcentral's name for it is "long non-coding RNA (PGIN_LNC012501)". The record is from RNAcentral. Lineage: Eukaryota; Viridiplantae; Streptophyta; Magnoliopsida; Apiales; Araliaceae.
GGUUCCAUAUUUUUCUGGACAUGACAUAAUUUAUCGAGAUCUCAUCAUUUUCAAUGAUUUCAGGUACCUGAUUGUCUUUUGGAACUGUAAUAUUAGUCAUGUCUAGAGGUUUUUCUGUAGACUCUUCUGGAGUUCCCAUUUCCUCGUCAUGACCAUCUUGAAUCUUUGUUCCUUUUCUCAUACGAGGAUUCUUAUCUUUGGAACCGACUGGUCUACCACGCUUCAAGCGUGCUUUAGAUUCAUUGGCAACAAGAGGUUGUCCUGCUGGGACAUCAAUUUUAAUUGGAGCAUUAACAGCUGGUAUAUGUGACUUUGUUACACUCUUUGGGUCAGAA